Molecule: ribosomal RNA, 253 nt
Filed under: uncultured bacterium
Lineage: Bacteria
Description: partial 16S ribosomal RNA
Rfam family: Bacterial small subunit ribosomal RNA
Source: RNAcentral
UACGUAGGGGGCAAGCGUUGUCCGGAUUUACUGGGCGUAAAGCGCGUGUAGGCGGAGUUGCAAGUCCGGCUUGAAAGCCCCUGGCUCAACCAGGGAGAGUGGCUGGAAACUGCAAUUCUUGAGGGCGACAGAGGAGUGUGGAAUUCCUGGUGUAGCGGUGAAAUGCGUAGAGAUCAGGAGGAACACCCAUGGCGAAGGCAGCACUCUGGGUCGGCCCUGACGCUGAGACGCGAAAGCGUGGGGAGCGAACGGG